UUAGCAUAUGGAUUUUAGACAGAGCUUUUCAGUAAGGGAGCAGCUACUACCAUGCUGACUAUCAGCCUGCUGGAAGAAGCUGUCACUUCCAUCUGUCUUGGAACCAGUAUGGCCCAGAAAGUAACUCAGGUUCUAAUUGCAAUUUCUGUGGUUGAGAAGGAGGCUAUGAUUUUGGACUGUGUAUAUGAAACCCAUGAUACUAUUUACUACAUAUUCUGGUACAAAGGACCACCAAGUGGGGAAAUGGUCUUCUUAAUUUGCCAGGAAUUUUACAAUGAGCAAAACAGUGUGAAUUUCCAGAAGUCAACCAGUUUCAUUGGCCUCACCAUCACAGCUGCACAGCUGGAAGACUUGACUGUGUAUUUCUGCUCACUGAGAGGGGCCACAGUGAGAGUGGAACAUGCAAGAACCCCACACCAACCUUAAGGAGAGCUGAGGAUACUCCACCACAGAUGGGAAGAAGAAGGGCUGUGUGGACAGGUGGAUUUGUAAGGAAACUGUAGCUCAAUUCAUGUAGAUGUCUAGAUACAUUAUUUUAGAAGCACAUACACCCUCUAUUCUUUAUAAUGCAUUGAGAAAAAAAAUAUAUAGCACAUGUAAAAAUUAUGGAUAAAUGCGAUUUAACAAAACCUAUUAAUCUUUGGUUGAUUACAUUGAGGUGGGAAAAAUAUCAAAUUAUCCUAGACCAAAUGGGUACUUCUAUUGAUGAGUUGCAAGUUUUUCAGAA
Molecule: non-coding RNA, 727 nt
Organism: Castor canadensis (American beaver)
Lineage: Eukaryota; Metazoa; Chordata; Mammalia; Rodentia; Castoridae
Source: the annotation of a RefSeq genome assembly